This 194-nucleotide non-coding RNA is filed under the name Evansella sp. LMS18. Its description in RNAcentral is "6S RNA". It matches the Rfam family "6S / SsrS RNA". Rfam says of the family: E. coli 6S RNA was the first non coding RNA to be sequenced, but its function was unknown until recently. It consists of 184 nucleotides that fold into an extended hairpin structure with a large single-stranded internal bulge. The record is from RNAcentral. Lineage: Bacteria; Bacillati; Bacillota; Bacilli; Caryophanales; Bacillaceae.
AGGGUCCUGUAGUGUACGAUGUUCAUCCAACGUUUUGAGCCAACACUUUUACAUUGGGAGCACAGCGUUCCGGCAGGGAGAGCAGGCCUUUCAUUAACAUAGUGUGAGGAAGCUUGAAUCGGCGGGCAUGGCACCCACGUACUCAGGUCCAGGUUCAAAGCCAGGAAACCUGAAACGGCACAUAUGGGAUCCUU